This is a long non-coding RNA of Echinops telfairi (small Madagascar hedgehog), 386 nucleotides long. RefSeq lists it as uncharacterized. The record is from RefSeq and is a predicted model, not a curated record. Lineage: Eukaryota; Metazoa; Chordata; Mammalia; Afrosoricida; Tenrecidae. The transcript is spliced from 4 exons.
UCAUCUGCAAGUAUGUGCAAGUGUUCUUUCACAGAAAUUAUCAUCGUGAUCUUUUUGUCUGGUGCAAGGACAUGUUCCUCAAAGAAAGCAGAUAAGGUCAGAACGCAUGCUGCCGAAAGGGAGAGGGUCGAUCAAAGGAGGAAGACCACCCACGUGACACACAGGUGCAGGACAUGGUUCAACUCCUGUGAAGCACAGCAGCUCUGGAAGCUUCGUCCUCUUGAGGGGGGAGAAAAGAGACCUGGAAUGAAACUAUUCUCCAGGAACCAGGGACCAGAAGAAUUCUAUUUCCAGCUACUCGGUGGAGGAGCUUCGAGAAGCCAGAAGUCCUCAGAGGCUGUGUUAGUCAGGGUAGACUAGAAAAACAAAUUCAUAGACACACUCAU